This 389-nucleotide unclassified non-coding RNA is filed under the name soil metagenome. Its description in RNAcentral is "partial contains 5.8S ribosomal RNA, internal transcribed spacer 2, and large subunit ribosomal RNA". The stretch from base 1 to 120 matches the Rfam family "5.8S ribosomal RNA", at positions 37 to 154 of the family's 154-position model. The record is from RNAcentral.
UGAAGAACGCAGCGAAAUGCGAUACUUGGUGUGAAUUGCAGAAUCCCGUGAACCAUCGAGUCUUUGAACGCAAGUUGCGCCCGAAGCCAUUAGGCCGAGGGCACGCCUGCCUGGGCGUCACACGUCGUUGCCCCCCCAUCUACUCCUUCGGGAUUGCGGGGGGCGGAUGAUGGCCUCCCGUGCGCCUCGUCGCGCGGUUGGCAUAAAUGCCAAGUCCUCGGCGACGCACGCCACGACAAUCGGUGGUUGCGAAACCUCGGUUGCCCGUCGUGUGCGGUCGUCGCGCAUCGAGGGCUCGAAAAAAUUGCCGGGCUCCGGCUCGGCUUUCAACGCGACCCCAGGUCAGGCGGGGUUACCCGCUGAAUUUAAGCAUAUCAAUAAGCGGAGGA